GACGAACGCUGGCGGCGUGCUUAACACAUGCAAGUCGAACGGAAAGGCCCUGCUUUUGUGGGGUGCUCGAGUGGCGAACGGGUGAGUAACACGUGAGUAACCUGCCCUUGACUUUGGGAUAACUUCAGGAAACUGGGGCUAAUACCGGAUAGGAGCUCCUGCUGCAUGGUGGGGGUUGGAAAGUUUCGGCGGUUGGGGAUGGACUCGCGGCUUAUCAGCUUGUUGGUGGGGUAGUGGCUUACCAAGGCUUUGACGGGUAGCCGGCCUGAGAGGGUGACCGGCCACAUUGGGACUGGGCUGCGGCCCAGACUACUACGGGAGGCAGCAGUGGGGAAUAGUGCACAAUGGGCGGAAGCCUGAUGCAGCAACGCCGCGUGCGGGAUGACGGCAUUCGGGUUGUAAACCGCUUUCGCCUGUGACGAAGCGUGAGUGACGGUAAUGGGUAAAGAAGCACCGGCUAACUACGUG
This 468-nucleotide ribosomal RNA is filed under the name uncultured bacterium. RNAcentral describes it as "partial 16S ribosomal RNA". It matches the Rfam family "Bacterial small subunit ribosomal RNA", at positions 28 to 507 of the family's 1533-position model. The record is from RNAcentral.